This is a non-coding RNA of Ceratotherium simum simum (southern white rhinoceros), 1478 nucleotides long. Lineage: Eukaryota; Metazoa; Chordata; Mammalia; Perissodactyla; Rhinocerotidae. The record is from RefSeq and is a predicted model, not a curated record.
UUUCUGAGCUGCUAAAGUGAGGCCCUGGUUUGUAUUCCAAAUCUGAGGAGCAGGGUCAAGCACAGGUGGGUAGAGCUGAGUUUUUCAGGUAAUGUCUGUGAAACCAAAGGCGAGCAGAGGUAGGUUGACCUGAAAAGCCAGGUUAGGUUCAUUUAGCUCUAUCUCACAGUUGAGCUCAGAGGCAGAUAAGUAGAGCAGAUCUGUCAGGUGAGGCCUGAGGAGCCAGGGUUAGCCUCAUCUAGACCGAACUGGAUCUCUUGGAUCACCCCGGAGACUAGGAAGUGAAGACAGGUGGCUCGAGCUAGGUCUCUCAGGUGAGAUCUGAGGAGCCGGGAUUGGGCAUGAGUGGAUCUGGACCUCCCAGAACUGCAUCUCUACCCAUCUUGUAGAGAUAUCUUGUGAGGGUGAGAACUUGUGGCCAGGCACAGGUAUGUGGAAUUGAAUUUCUCAGGGAAGGUCUAUGGAUUCUGUAUCUGGCACAGGUUUGUAUCCUUGGGUCUGUCAGCGUGAGUUAAGCACAGGUGCAUAGGGCAGAGUUUGUCAGGUAAGGUCUAUGGAACCAGGAUCAGAGCAGGUUCACAACACUAGGUCUGUCUAGUGAGAUCUGAAAAGUCACAGUGAAGCCCAAGUAAGAACCAGAUGUCUGAGAUGAGAUGUGAGCAGCUGAGAAGAGGUAUGGGUAGGCAGUGCUGGUCCACCAGGUGCAGUCUCAGGAGCCGGGAGCAAGCACAGGUAGGUAGAACUGGCCCACCAGGUGUGGUCCCAGGAGCCAAGGUCAAGCACAGGUAGGUAGAGCUGGCCCACCAGGUGUAGUCUGGGGACCCAGGAUCAAGCACAGGUAGGCAGAGCUGGCCUUCCAGUGUGGUGUGAGGAGCCAAGGUCAAGUAUAGGUAGGUAAAACUGGCCCAUCAGGUGUGGUCUGAGGACCCAGCAUCAAGCACAGGUAGGCAGAGCUGGCCCUCCAGGUGUGGUCUGAGAAACCAAGUUCAAGCACACCUAGGCAGAGCUGGCCGGCCAAGUGUGGUUGGAGGAGCCAGGGUCAAACACAGGUAGGAAGAGUUGGCCCGCCAGGUGAAGCUGAAGAGCCAGAGUCAAGCACAGGUAGGUAGAACUGGCCUGCCAGGUGUAGUCUGAGGACCCAAGAUCAAGCACAGGUAGGCAGAGCUUGCCCUCCAGGUAUGGUCUGAGGACCUAGGGUCAAGCCAUAGGUAGGAAAAGCUGGCCUGCCAGGUGAGGUCUGAGGAGCCAAGGUCAAGCGCAGGUAGGCAGAGCUGGCCCACUAGGUCUUUUAAGGAGCCAGGGUCAUGUACAGGUAGGUAGAGCUGGCCCACCAGCUGCAGUGUAAGGAGCCAGGGGCAUGUAAGGUAGGCAGAUCUGGCCGACCAGGUGUGGUCUGAGGAGCCAGGGUCAAGCACAAGUAGGUAGAGCUGGUCCACCAGGUGUGGUCUGAGGAGCCAGCAUCAUGUACAGGUAUGUAG